This 331-nucleotide long non-coding RNA is filed under the name Pandoravirus salinus. Its description in RNAcentral is "putative ncRNA". The record is from RNAcentral.
CCUGGCCUCUCUCGGCGGCAACAAAAACAACCGUGGCCUUUUUCUUUCGCUCGAUCGCCGCCAAAAGUAAUACUGCGCCCGACACCCGCUCGGGUCGACUGGCGAAAUGCUCGGUCUCGCUCGUGCGGUUCGGCGCCGUUGAGUCGGAAAUAAAAUGAAAUUCGUGCCGGCUCGACAAAAGCGGGAAAGACCCUGACGACUAUGAAAAGGUGCGCACAAACAGGCAGCCUCGAUCGGUGCAUCCCCCGACCCUGGGACGAGCGCAGACCCGAAUGCGAGCGGCGUCAAUUCGCAGUCGCGCGCACAUCCGGGUCCGAACCUAAACAUCGGG